This 437-nucleotide ribosomal RNA is filed under the name uncultured Oscillospiraceae bacterium. Its description in RNAcentral is "bacterial SSU rRNA". It matches the Rfam family "Bacterial small subunit ribosomal RNA", at positions 341 to 792 of the family's 1533-position model. Lineage: Bacteria; Bacillati; Bacillota; Clostridia; Eubacteriales; Oscillospiraceae. The record is from RNAcentral.
ACGGAAGGCAGCAGUGGGGAAUAUUGGGCAAUGGGCGAAAGCCUGACCCAGCAACGCCGCGUGAAGGAAGAAGGUCUUCGGGUUGUAAACUUCUUUUAUGAGGGACGAAGGACGUGACGGUACCUCAUGAAUAAGCCACGGCUAACUACGUGCCAGCAGCCGCGGUAAUACGUAGGUGGCAAGCGUUAUCCGGAUUUACUGGGUGUAAAGGGCGCGUAGGCGGGGAGACAAGUCAGGUGUGAAAUCUAUGGGCUUAACCCAUAAACUGCAUUUGAAACUGUAUCUCUUGAGUGCUGGAGAGGUAGAUGGAAUUCCUUGCGUAGCGGUGAAAUGCGUAGAUAUAAGGAAGAACACCAGUGGCGAAGGCGGCCUACUGGGCUUUAACUGACGCUGAGGCUCGAAAGUGUGGGGAGCAAACAGGAUUAGAUACCCUGGUA